GCUUGUUAGAGCUGUGAAUAAUUUUACAUUUUACAUAUUAGUGGCAUCACCACUCUACCUCCUCUUUCUAUCUUCCAUUCUACUGUCAACUCUACUGUCGUCCUACUGUCGUCCUACUGUCGUUGGCAAAAAUAGGAGCAAAUUGAAGUUAGCGAGAACGACAACUGUCGGCCUGCAGUCGUGUAGUCGUGCAGCUGUCAAAAUAACACUGCCCAUAAGAACGUGUGUAUUUUAAUAUUUGACAGAUGUAGUUUGCAGUCUGUUGUAGCCAUUGUGUUUACACUUUCAGAGUGAGAAUAUUUUAUUGAAUCACAAUAAAAAAAGGAUUAAACAAGUAAAGAGAAGAAAUCUUUUACUAAAAAGUGAUUUAAAAAAGAAAAGGCGGUCCGUACCAAAAGUGAGCAAUUACCUGAAUAUAAUAAAAAACUAUCCAGAGGAUGUAUUUCAAUCGCAUUUUCGGAUGGCGCGAUCAACUUUUAUGAUAUUGCGAAACUCUAUCCAACCAUAUUGGACCAGGUCAUUGCGCGGCCGGUUGGGGCAUUCCCUUGAAAUGUGCCUUUAUGUAACGCUGUGGAAAUUGGGUAACAGCAACGUCACGUUUCGCGAGCUUAGUGACCGGUUUGGUGUUGCGAAGGGAACCACGCAUAAAAUAUUUUUUAAUCUUAUUAAAAUGGUUUCUUCAUUAAAAAAUGAAAUAACAUGGCCUUCUGCUGUUAAACAAAGGCAAGUAAUGGAACAUUUCGAAAGGAGCCGAUGCAAUCCUUUUUCAUUAUUUUGCAGGCCAUAUGUGACAGUAAAUUUCGCUUUCUGGAUGUAUUUAUUGGAUGUCCAGGCAGUUGCCAUGAUACUCAUGUAUGGAAAACUAGCCCUAUUUAUAAAGGAAUUAUUUCCGGUGAAGUGGAACUUGCUGAAAAUGCAGUCAUUUUAGGAGAUUCUGCCUAUCCUUUAUCAAAAUUCCUGCUCACACCUUACAGAGAUAAUGGGCAUUUAAGAUCGGAAGAAAGAAACUUUAAUUACUGCUUAAGCUCAACUCGUGUUUUUAUCGAGCAGUCGUAUGGAAUUUUGAAACAAAAGUUUUAAAUACUAAAUUAUAUAAACUUGAGGUCAGUCAAAAAAGCAUCAAUGGUAAUAUUUGCCUGUACAAUAUUGCACAACUUUAUUAUAAAUAGAGGAAACCCUUCGAAAUAUCUUGUUGGAUUACCAGAAAAUAAUAACGUCAUAAAUGAAGAAAAUGAAAAUCACCUUAGUACUUCCAUGGCACCUCAAGAAAAUGACGAUUUAGAUGGAAUUGCUAUAAGGCGCAAUUUGACAACGUUGUUUUGUUCUUAAAUAAAUAUAAGUAAAAUACUUAUGAGUGGAA
Molecule: long non-coding RNA, 1360 nt
Organism: Bactrocera neohumeralis
Lineage: Eukaryota; Metazoa; Arthropoda; Insecta; Diptera; Tephritidae
Exons: 3
Source: RefSeq, a predicted model, not a curated record